This is a long non-coding RNA of Mercurialis annua (annual mercury), 680 nucleotides long. RefSeq lists it as uncharacterized. The transcript is spliced from 2 exons. NCBI's taxonomy places the organism in Eukaryota, Viridiplantae, Streptophyta, Magnoliopsida, Malpighiales, Euphorbiaceae. The record is from RefSeq and is a predicted model, not a curated record.
UUGAAAGGAGAAAAUUAAAUUUCUCAAAGCAGAGGAAUCGAAACUUUCAAGAAUCAAAUGGGCUCUGUUUGUCCUUUCCCUAUCUUCGACGUGUCGAUCUGCAAGUGUGGAGUUGAAGCGAAAGUGAUGGUUGCCUGACUGAGAAAAUUCCUGGUCGAAAGUUCUUCCGUUGUGCCAAUUGGAAGUCUGAGGCAAUACAUUUUUCAGUUGAUUUGAUGAAUAAUUUGCUCCCCACAUCAAACAUAUGCUAACAAAAUGAAGAAGGAGAAAGAGACAUUGCUGAAGAAAGGGGAAACGCUUAAAGGUGAUCUGUUAUAUUAAAAAAAAUUGAAUAACAGAUCCUUAACCAUUCUUGACUCAAUUGCUAUGGAGACGGAGAUUGAAGAAAUGAGAGGAAAUACUGCUAGAAUGAUUGAAUUGGAAAAAAGAGAUUGAGGAAUUGAAGUAUGAGAAGGGCUUAUUCAAAAAGUCUCUCUCAUUACAGUUGUUAUGUUAUGCUUGUGCAUUUUCCUUACUAUGAGUAUUUAGUUUAGUUUGUUUUAGGUAUGAACUCAACGUGUUGUAAUGAUAAUCAAUUAACCCUAAUUAGAGUUGAUUGAUUUAGUUAAAAUCUUAUGUUGUCUUGUACUUUGAAUGUAUUUUGAAGAAUAUUGUCUUGAAUGAAAACCUUAUGUUUAUUA